Molecule: transfer RNA, 72 nt
Filed under: Protosalanx chinensis
Lineage: Eukaryota; Metazoa; Chordata; Actinopteri; Osmeriformes; Salangidae
Also listed under: 2 other names
Description: tRNA-Thr
Rfam family: tRNA
About the family: Transfer RNA (tRNA) molecules are approximately 80 nucleotides in length. Their secondary structure includes four short double-helical elements and three loops (D, anti-codon, and T loops).
Source: RNAcentral
GCAUUAGAAGCUCAACGAAAGAGCGCCGGUCUUGUAAGCCGAAGGCUGGGGGUUCAAAUCCCCCCUUUUGCU